This 467-nucleotide ribosomal RNA is filed under the name uncultured bacterium. RNAcentral's name for it is "partial 16S ribosomal RNA". It matches the Rfam family "Bacterial small subunit ribosomal RNA", at positions 28 to 507 of the family's 1533-position model. The record is from RNAcentral.
GACGAACGCUGGCGGCGUGCUUAACACAUGCAAGUCGAACGGAAAGGCCUCUUUCGGGGGGUACUCUAGUGGCGAACGGGUGAGUAACACGUGAGUAACCUGCCCUUGACUUUGGGAUAACUUCAUGAAACUGGGGCUAAUACCGGAUAGGAGCUCCUGCUGCAUGGUGGGGGUUGGAAAGUUUCGGCGGUUGGGGAUGGACUCGCGGCUUAUCAGCUUGUUGGUGUGGGAGUGGCUUACGAAGGCUGUGACGGGUAGCCGGCCUGGGAGGGUGACCGGCCCCAUUGGGACUGAGAGACGGCCCAGACUACUACGGGAGGCAGCAGUGGGGAAUAUUGCACAAUGGGUGGAAGCCUGAUGCAGCAACGCCGUGUGCGGGAUGACGGACUUCGGGUUGUAAACCGCUUUCGCUCAUGACGAAGCUUUGUGUGACGGUAGUGGGUAAAGAAGCACCGGCUAACUACGUG